Molecule: long non-coding RNA, 369 nt
Organism: Gadus macrocephalus (Pacific cod)
Lineage: Eukaryota; Metazoa; Chordata; Actinopteri; Gadiformes; Gadidae
Exons: 3
Source: RefSeq, a predicted model, not a curated record
UAUAGGUGCACAUGUGGAAAUUGUGCCACAAUGCAGUCAGAGCCUGAGAACGUAUGCUGUCAGGAGGUGCCUCAGGUUACAAGACGGCAGGAACAGCUGGAUGAAAGGCCUCCCUGUAUGAUAGACCAUCCAGGUGUAGAACCGGUUUGUCUAAAUGUGUUCUCGCUGCAGAACGCAUUCAACAUUUACAGAGCUGACGACGGUCCUUUGCGACUACGGGGGAUAGAGCAUCGUUACAGGUAUUUAGCCUAUAGAAAUUUUGUGAGCUGGUGCUGGUGCUGUUAUCCCAUCAUGAGUUGUUCUUCGUAUGCACCGGAAGUUUCCUGACGCCCAUGGAAGAUACGGAGGCUUCAAACCACCCUCCCUUGA